RNAcentral lists this ribosomal RNA (488 nucleotides) under Pseudomonas sp. SBRD6. RNAcentral describes it as "bacterial SSU rRNA". It matches the Rfam family "Bacterial small subunit ribosomal RNA", at positions 89 to 573 of the family's 1533-position model. Lineage: Bacteria; Pseudomonadati; Pseudomonadota; Gammaproteobacteria; Pseudomonadales; Pseudomonadaceae. The record is from RNAcentral.
GAUUUAGCGGCGGACGGGUGAGUAAUGCCUAGGAAUCUGCCUGGUAGUGGGGGAUAACGUCCGGAAACGGGCGCUAAUACCGCAUACGUCCUACGGGAGAAAGCAGGGGACCUUCGGGCCUUGCGCUAUCAGAUGAGCCUAGGUCGGAUUAGCUAGUUGGUGAGGUAAUGGCUCACCAAGGCGACGAUCCGUAACUGGUCUGAGAGGAUGAUCAGUCACACUGGAACUGAGACACGGUCCAGACUCCUACGGGAGGCAGCAGUGGGGAAUAUUGGACAAUGGGCGAAAGCCUGAUCCAGCCAUGCCGCGUGUGUGAAGAAGGUCUUCGGAUUGUAAAGCACUUUAAGUUGGGAGGAAGGGUUGUAGAUUAAUACUCUGCAAUUUUGACGUUACCGACAGAAUAAGCACCGGCUAACUUCGUGCCAGCAGCCGCGGUAAUACGAAGGGUGCAAGCGUUAAUCGGAAUUACUGGGCGUAAAGCGCGCGUA